ACGUGCCCUGGGAGACUUGUGGUGCCCCUGUGAACUUGUAAAGCAGUGUACUUGCGGAGGAUUUGUCAAUAAACUUAGGAAAUAGUGCCCGUGUUUUUCCCUUGUGGCCUGGCCUCGUGUGUGUGUGUGUGUGUGUGUGUGUGCACGCGCGCCUUGUCCCGGCGUUCAGAGUGUGACUCCGCUGCUCUACCUAUACCCGUGUGGAUAACACGCCCGCCCGGAGUGAGGGAUGGGCGCAACAAUAACAUCUUUGUUGGCCCUGUCGAAGGCACCCUUAAGAUCAACGAAAGCUCUGCAGGACGGUUAUAUGAACUGGCAGCCAUUGUUGAUGUUUGCAUUGCUUGCUGGGGCCGGGAGAAUUCCACGAUUACAGCUCAAAUAGAAGGAGUGAGUGAGGCAGGAUGAGUCUGAUGGGUGCUUAGGCUGAGAGUCACGCCGCAGGGUCAGUGAGGGGUACGGCCGGCAGUAUGGUGACUCCUACGGCGGCGGUCAUCACAGGAGUACUCAUGUGACAGGAGCAGCAGUUGGGGGGCGGUCACAGGGGAGGGGGCUGAUGGCGAA
Long non-coding RNA from Scylla paramamosain (green mud crab), 561 nucleotides. RefSeq lists it as uncharacterized. Lineage: Eukaryota; Metazoa; Arthropoda; Malacostraca; Decapoda; Portunidae. The transcript is spliced from 4 exons. The record is from RefSeq and is a predicted model, not a curated record.